AGAAGAGUCUCAUACAAUGAAGUUCAUGUAUUUCAUUAUGAUGGUGUCGUUGUCUCUUACAUAUUUGAACGUUAGCUCCCAAAAUCUUAAGAUCUUCCAGUAGUGAUUGCUAGAGUCUAGUACCAUGAUAAACAUUACGCAAAAUGAAGCAAUUUCACUGUCCUAAUUUUACACUGAUAGUAUCCUCAGUGAUAACUCUUCAAGUGGCAGGUGCAUUACUAUUAGUUGGAUGCGGUAACUGCUGAGUUUGCUGUGCUGUAUGUGAACCUAAGCCAAAAAUGUUUAUAGGCUGAGAAGCGCCUUGAAGUGGAUGGAACCCCAUGUAACUAGCAUAUUGAUCUGGAAAAUUGGGAUUCUGCAAAUGGCGUUGAUAGUUAACUUGAUUCAACAUUGAAUUCU
Molecule: unclassified non-coding RNA, 399 nt
Filed under: Hevea brasiliensis (rubber tree)
Lineage: Eukaryota; Viridiplantae; Streptophyta; Magnoliopsida; Malpighiales; Euphorbiaceae
Source: RNAcentral